Molecule: long non-coding RNA, 1839 nt
Organism: Gallus gallus (chicken)
Lineage: Eukaryota; Metazoa; Chordata; Aves; Galliformes; Phasianidae
Source: Ensembl
GGAACGUGCUAACAAAAGCUGCACUUCCAUUUCUUGAAAAGAUGAUCUGAUAUUUAGCGCUCUCCUUGUAAAAGCCCAAGAUAAAAGGAGUUUUUGGUAUCGGCAUAAGGAGUCCCAUUCUCACCUGGAAAUUAUUUAGGAUAGCUACACAGAGCCUUCCUGUUCCAAAUCUGCAUUCUAAAAAUCCUAUCUGAAGAAAAAGCUAGUGCUUACAACAUUAUUUUCAGCCAAAGAAAUGUGUGAUAUGAAAUGAGGCAAUCAGACAGUCACUAGAAGAAUUUAAGCCCUUUUAAGGCAGCUACCAAAGGAAAGCAUCUGAUGAAGGAAGAAAGAGAUUAAAAAAAAAAAUAAUUAAGAGCUCUGAAAGGGAACUAUGCUCACUGGGUGGAUAGAUGACUCACUUUUAAGGUAAUAGGAGGAAUUUACCUUGGAAAAAUUAACAUUCUUCCCCUACUUUUCAAAAGUCAGCAUCUUUCCUUAUUAUCUUCUUUCCCCUUCUUCUUCUUCUUCCUCUUCUUCUUUUUUAAUACAAUAAAAUACAGAAAGGGUAAUUUACUAAAAAGCUCAAAUGACCACUGAACUUAACACCAGAGUAAUUCUCAAAGAAACCUGUAAUUACAGAAGAGCAUAACAUGAAAUCUCUAGUCGUAGCAAACACUCCAUCCCCAUCACUAAGCUAUUAUUUGAGAAUUCAGCUGUAAAAAUAAACUUGGUCCUAGCUUCAGAGGAAGUGAUAGAGGUAGAAGAUCUUAACUCAUUAAGAUCCAGAUGAAAAAAAAUCUCUUCCCGUUAAGUCAUUUUUGUUUAUUUCAGUGCUGAGGGAGUUGAUUAAAAAUGCAUGUGGAAUUGUUAAUUUGAAUGUGAUGCUCCUAAAACCUCUGCAUUCUUUGUGUACCACGUGUUGGUUGGGUGUAAGAAUACAAUGCAGAAGGGAAUUACAAAGACCUGAACUGCUAUUUCUAUUCUAAUAUGAAAGUUGGUACAGGCCUUGGGACCGUGUCGUAGUCAGAGAAUAUUUUUUUUCACACAAAUAUUAUAUACACAGGGUCCAUCUCAUCUUGAAUGUCUUUACUGUUACUAUUAAGUAUUAAAGGAUCAUCUGUUCAUCUUACAAGAUUAAAUGGCUUGACAAUUUUGAUAUUUGCCCUGUUUACACACAUGACAUAACUGUGCUUCAAUUGUAUUUGAGCAUACAUUUUAUUUUCCUAAGGUUUGUAUGGAGAACUGUGUACUUUUUAUUUUCCAAGAUAUAAAAUAGCAUUAUGAAGAAGGGAAUACACAAGAAUUAGUUACAAGAGCUUACCUCUAAUUUUUGAUAUUAACUUCCUGCUUUUCUGUUAAUAAAGUCAAAAAUGAUAUUGAGAGCCUAUUUAUGCCAACUCAUAGUGAAAACUAUGCACACCCCAUGAGUCUCUUCCAGCGGCCUCAUCCCCCAAUCUACUUUUUCCUGAGUACUUAGAAGGACUGCUUAGCAUUUUCUGACUUUGGAUAUUAUCCUUGAUAAUACAUGUUCAUCUUACAGACCCUGUCUGAUGAACAGAAACUUUUGGAAUUUAUUUAGAAUAAACUUAGAAUUAUCUAAAUAAAUAGAAUUUAGACCCAGUACUUUCGAUUUUAAACAUUGUAUUAAGAGGUAACUGCUCUUGGAACCACGGAGGAUGAUCACCCCCACACAACCUCUGCACCCACAUCGGCUUUACCUGAGAAAUACACUCAUGUUCCAACAGUAUAUGUCAGGCAAGUCUAUAGCCCACACAAGCUGCACAUAGCCCAGGACAGACAGCAAUGCAUCCCAAAACUUCUAACAUAAAACUUAUAAUGUUAUUGUGUGAUUUUUAG